GAGUUUGAUCAUGGCUCAGAUUGACGCUGGCGGUAUGCUUAACACAUGCAAGUCGAACGGUACAGGAGAGAGCUUGCUCUUUUGCUGACGAGUGGCGGACGGGUGAGUAAUGCGUAGGAUCUGCCUAGUAGUGGGGGACACGUGUGGAACGCACGCUAAUACCGCAUACGCCCUACGGGGGAAGCGGGGGAUCUUCGGACCUCGCGCUAUUAGAUGAGCCUACGUUAGAUUAGCUAGUUGGUGGGGUAAGGCCUACCAGGCGACGAUCUAUAGCUGGUCUGAGAGGAUGAUCAGCCACACUGGGACUGAGACACGGCCCAGACUCCUACGGGAGGCAGCAGUGGGGAUAUUGGACAAUGGGCGAAAGCCUGAUCCAGCAAUACCGCGUGUGUGAAGA
RNAcentral lists this ribosomal RNA (397 nucleotides) under uncultured microorganism. RNAcentral's name for it is "bacterial SSU rRNA". It matches the Rfam family "Bacterial small subunit ribosomal RNA", at positions 9 to 411 of the family's 1533-position model. The record is from RNAcentral.